AUAGCUGAUUGCACCAACAAAUAGUUGAUGCAAUAUUGACUCUGUCAAAUAAAAUUCUAGGUAGAAUUAUGAUAAUGACAUUGUCUGCCUAUAUGUCUUGACCAAAUUACGUGCCAGCAGUCGCGGUAAUACGUAGAAGACUAGUGUUAUUCAUCUUUAAUAGGUUUAAAGGGUACCUAGACGGUAAAUCAAGCCUUCACAGGGACUAAUUUACUAGAGUUACUUACGAGGGGGUAUUAAAGUACUGCAGGUGUAGAGAUGAAAUUCUGUCAUACCUCUUUUCAAAAGAAAAAUUAUGGCACAGGUAUAGGUGAAAGCAUCCCCUUAUGUGAUAACUGACGUUGAAGGACGAAGGCUUUGUGUCGCGAACAGGAUUAGAUACCCCAGUAGUCAAAGCAGAAAAUGAUGAAUGUCAUAGAUUAGAUAAAUAGUUUAUUCUAUAAAUGAAAAUGUAAGCAUUCCACCUCAAGAGUAAUUUGGCAACAUUGGAACUGAAAUCAUUAGACCGUUUCUGAAACCAGUAGUGAAGUAUGUUGUUUAAUUUGAUGAUCCGCAAAAAACCUUACCACAAUUUGAAUAUUUAUAUAUAUCUUUUUUUUUCGUAAAAAAAUAAAAAGGUAAUAUAUUUACAAGCGUUGCACGGCUGUCUUCAGUUAAUGUCGCGAGACUUUGGUUAGUUCCAUUAAAUUAACGUAAACCCUUACUUUAUUUUCAUAUGAAGUAGUUCCCCGCUAUAUUGGAUAUGAUAACAGGGACUAAGAC
Molecule: ribosomal RNA, 762 nt
Filed under: Lepraria humida
Lineage: Eukaryota; Fungi; Ascomycota; Lecanoromycetes; Lecanorales; Stereocaulaceae
Description: SSU rRNA
Rfam family: Bacterial small subunit ribosomal RNA
Source: RNAcentral